CCCCGGCGCCACAAGUGGUUAUCACGAUUAUUGGGCCUAAAGCGUUCGUAGCCGGUUUGGUAAAUCUCUUGUGAAAUUGUUCGGCUUAACCGGACAGCGUGCAGGAGACACUACCAAGCUCGAGACCGGGAGGGGUUAGAAGUAUUCCAUGGGGACUGGUAAAAUGGGAUAAUCCAUGGAAGACUACCGAUGGCGAAGGCAUCUAACCAGAACGGAUCUGACGGUGAGGAACGAAAGCCAGGGGAGCGAACCGG
This 254-nucleotide ribosomal RNA is filed under the name uncultured bacterium. Its description in RNAcentral is "partial 16S ribosomal RNA". It matches the Rfam family "Archaeal small subunit ribosomal RNA", at positions 474 to 727 of the family's 1478-position model. The record is from RNAcentral.